GACGAACGCUGGCGGCGUGCCUAAUACAUGCAAGUAGAACGCACAGUUUAUACCGUAGCUUGCUACACCAUAAACUGUGAGUUGCGAACGGGUGAGUAACGCGUAGGUAACCUGCCUGGUAGCGGGGGAUAACUAUUGGAAACGAUAGCUAAUACCGCAUAAUAUUAAUUAUUGCAUGAUAAUUGAUUGAAAGAUGCAAUUGCAUCACUACCAGAUGGACCUGCGUUGUAAUAGCUAGUAGGUGAGGUAACGGCUCACCUAGGCGACGAUACAUAGCCGACCUGAGAGGGGGAGCGGCCACACGGGGAGGGAGACACGGCCCAGACUCAUACGGGAGGCAGCAGUAGGGAAUCUUCGGCAAUGGACGAAAGUCUGACCGAGCAACGCCGCGUGAGUGAAGAAGGUUUUCGGAUCGUAAAGCUAUGUUGUAAGAGAAGAACGGGUGUGAGAGUGGAAAGUUCACACUGUGACGGGAUCUUAACAGAAAGGGACGGCUAACUACGUG
RNAcentral lists this ribosomal RNA (505 nucleotides) under uncultured bacterium. RNAcentral's name for it is "partial 16S ribosomal RNA". It matches the Rfam family "Bacterial small subunit ribosomal RNA", at positions 28 to 507 of the family's 1533-position model. The record is from RNAcentral.